GGUGAACGCUAGCUACAGGCUUAACACAUGCAAGUCGAGGGGAAACGGCAUUAAGUGCUUGCACUUUUUGGACGUCGACCGGCGCACGGGUGAGUAACGCGUAUCCAACCUUCCCAUGACUAAGGGAUAACCUGCCGAAAGGCAGACUAAUACCUUAUGGUCUUCACUGACGGCAUCAGAUGUGAAGUAAAGAUUUAUCGGUUAUGGAUGGGGAUGCGUCUGAUUAGCUUGUUGGCGGGGUAACGGCCCACCAAGGCAACGAUCAGUAGGGGUUCUGAGAGGAAGGUCCCCCACAUUGGAACUGAGACACGGUCCAAACUCCUACGGGAGGCAGCAGUGAGGAAUAUUGGUCAAUGGGCGAGAGCCUGAACCAGCCAAGUAGCGUGCAGGAUGACGGCCCUAUGGGUUGUAAACUGCUUUUGUAUGGGGAUAAAGUCAAUCACGUGUGAUUGUUUGCAGGUACCAUACGAAUAAGGACCGGCUAAUUCCGUGCCAGCAGCCGCGGUAAUACGGAAGGUCCGGGCGUUAUCCGGAUUUAUUGGGUUUAAAGGGAGCGUAGGCUGGAGAUUAAGUGUGUUGUGAAAUGUAGACGCUCAACGUCUGACUUGCAGCGCAUACUGGUUUCCUUGAGUACGCACAACGUUGGCGGAAUUCGUCGUGUAGCGGUGAAAUGCUUAGAUAUGACGAAGAACUCCGAUUGCGAAGGCAGCUGACGGGAGCGCAACUGACGCUGAAGCUCGAAGGUGCGGGUAUCGAACAGG
Molecule: ribosomal RNA, 761 nt
Filed under: Prevotella melaninogenica
Lineage: Bacteria; Pseudomonadati; Bacteroidota; Bacteroidia; Bacteroidales; Prevotellaceae
Description: bacterial SSU rRNA
Rfam family: Bacterial small subunit ribosomal RNA
Source: RNAcentral